CAUGAGCUGCGAUGGACCCGUGACUGCCUGCAGGACCCCCGCCGUUGUGCGGCCGACUGCCGGCGCUCGUGUCCCUUCAAUCGUGCGGGCUCCGUGCCCGUGCCCUUGACAAGUGCUUGCAUGCUGCUACCCGUCCCACGGGAAGCGGUCUUGCCCACACGCUGCCAUCGUCGCGCGCGCCCUCCGGGCGUGACGCGUCGGCCACUAAGCGCCCGUGUCGCUGCCUCGUGGCUCUAGCCUCUCGUAGGCUGGCGUCACCAAGGCUGCCUCGCCCGCGCUCUUGGUCCCGGAUGCCGCUGACGCUGAAGGCCGAUGGGCACCUCGGUGCCCCGUGCCUUUCUAAGCUAAGUCCCUUUGGGAACGGAACAACGACAGCUAGCCCGGCCGUCGUCGCCGCCGUGCCUGCCCUGCGCAGGCCGGCGCGUGCGGACGUCGGUGCUAGCUCGUCGCGGAGGACGUGCU
Molecule: unclassified non-coding RNA, 462 nt
Filed under: Chasmanthium latifolium (wild oats)
Lineage: Eukaryota; Viridiplantae; Streptophyta; Magnoliopsida; Poales; Poaceae
Description: partial external transcribed spacer
Source: RNAcentral